This 494-nucleotide ribosomal RNA is filed under the name uncultured Glomus. RNAcentral's name for it is "SSU rRNA". It matches the Rfam family "Eukaryotic small subunit ribosomal RNA", at positions 569 to 1067 of the family's 1831-position model. The record is from RNAcentral. Lineage: Eukaryota; Fungi; Glomeromycota; Glomeromycetes; Glomerales; Glomeraceae.
AGCAGCCGCGGUAAUUCCAGCUCCAAUAGCGUAUAUUAAAGUUGUUGCAGUUAAAAAGCUCGUAGUUGAAUUUCGGGGUUAGUAGGUUGGUCAUGCCUCUGGUAUGUACUGGUCUCACUGAUUCCUCCUUCCUGAUGAGCCGUAAUGCCAUUAAUUUGGUGUUGCGGGGAAUUUGGACUGUUACUUUGAAAAAAUUAGAGUGUUUAAAGCAAGCUAACGCUUGAAUACAUUAGCAUGGAAUAAUGAAAUAGGACGUUCGAUCCUAUUUUGUUGGUUUCUAGGAUUGACGUAAUGAUUAAUAGGGAUAGUUGGGGGCAUUAGUAUUCAAUUGUCAGAGGUGAAAUUCUUGGAUUUAUUGAAGACUAACUACUGCGAAAGCAUUUGCCAAGGAUGUUUUCAUUAAUCAAGAACGAAAGUUAGGGGAUCGAAGACGAUCAGAUACCGUCGUAGUCUUAACCAUAAACUAUGCCGACUAGGGAUCGGAUGAUGUUAAU